RNAcentral lists this long non-coding RNA (615 nucleotides) under Physcomitrium patens. RNAcentral's name for it is "long non-coding RNA (PPAT_LNC014131)". The record is from RNAcentral. Lineage: Eukaryota; Viridiplantae; Streptophyta; Bryopsida; Funariales; Funariaceae.
UCCAAAAUAGUUGAAUAAAGUAUAAAUAGAACUAGUUAAGGUGAUUGGAUAGGUGAUCAGGUAUAACUUCAAUUUCUUUUUCUUAAUAAAGUUUGUUUUUAUAUUUUUUUGUUCAAUUUAUUCUAUUAUCAUUUUUUCUAUUUUACCUUUCAUGUUCCAUUCUAUUUAAAUUUAUUUAGUUUUAUUCUAGUCAUUGUUGUCUUAUGUUGUGAUAAGAUUUAUAUUGCUAUGGAUUUAAAGACACUUAGAUCUUAAAGAUAGUCCAAUUCUAUUUCAUUAAUAUCAGAGCAAAUAUUGGUUUCUUCUUUAAUAAUCUAUUGAUAGCUACCAUCUAGUUGGAGGUCACUUGUUGUAGUUACAUCAAGUAUUAUUUUGGAGCUACCACAAGCUACUUUUAAGAAGUCAACUAGAAGAAGAGAAGGCAUUAUAGUAGUAAAAUUUAGUAAGAAAAUUACAUCAUGAAAGAUAUGGCAAAGUAAUCUCAAAUAGAAACUGAAAAAUAACACCUUUUAGGCCAAAUAGUUACUCUACAAGGGCAAAUAGAAGCCUCUAAGAUAAAGAAAUCAACAUGGCUAGGUUGAAAUUACAUAAGUCCAAUAUAUAAUCUACAACUCC